This 1243-nucleotide long non-coding RNA is filed under the name Aedes aegypti (yellow fever mosquito). RNAcentral describes it as "lncRNA AAEL021033". Lineage: Eukaryota; Metazoa; Arthropoda; Insecta; Diptera; Culicidae. The record is from RNAcentral.
CGACGAUUGAAAACGUUUCGCGAUCGAGUGUCACCGUCGCGGAUGGCAACGAAAAUCGGGUAGAAGGCGUCGGUGAUUGUCUUAUCAAGUGCGUUAAUGACAGUGGAGAGACAAUCGAACUUACACUACGGGGUGUACUGUAUGUGCCCACACGGAGAAAACGAAGUACUCAAAAAUGAGUUUUUUUUAACUCAAAAUUAAGUUAAGACAGUGGAACUCAAGGAAUGGGUGAUUUCCAUUCUGUCAAAUACGUACAUUUAACCCAACUUUUGAGUAGUUCGACUAAAACCCAAAUUUGAGUAAAAAAAUACUUGUUCAUUUUAUUGCAUUUAUACCAUACAAGUUUAAUACUUGAACUUGCGUACUUUCUGGCAAAACUAGUUACGGAAUCACUCGAAAUGUCACUUAACGUAUUUAUAAUUGCUACGAAAACGCAGUAUAUAUAGACUGGAUAUUCAUUUAAUCACAUAAAAUAAGUUAAUCGAUCAUUGAAUUUGUCAAACACUCAGAAAACAAAUAGUUGAGUAAAAACAACUCAACGUGAGACAUUCAAGCUGCGAACUACCCGUUGAGUAGUUUAAACUCAGUUUUGGAUGAAAAAAUGCGACAGCCAUAUUGAAAAGUCAACAUUGCUCAUUCCAGAUUAGCCGACAUCGGCGUAAGACGUGAUCGUAAUUGUUAUUGUUUUUUAAUUAUAAAAAUCAAUAAAUUACGAUAGAUGUUUAUUUAAUACAUUUUUGAUAGCUAAUCCUGAAGUGGUUUACCGGAAUGCUGAUUUACUAGAGGAAUUCAGUUAUCGUUUAACUGUUUUUGGUGCACGAUUUCCGAUGUCCAGAAGUGACUUAAUGCCUUGCUCUCGAUGGCUAUAAUCCUCUCCGAACUGUUGUUUGCCGUUACCUUCACCCACCGUUCACGAUUCCCGGAACCGUUUCCGACGAACUAUUGCUGAAAGUGAGAGGCUGGUUGCUGAACAUAAUGCGUGUCAUUCGUUGCCUGCUUGCUGUACCUGCCAUUCCUAGCCACCAUGUGCCACCGUCGGAGUCGAGCUUUCCAUUGGCGUUCUCAGUACAUUGCUGCCGGUCGAUAAGUUUUAUGCUGCAGGUGUACUCACCCGAUCCAAAUUGUUUCCUGUGCUGAUGUCGUCAUUCCUGCCCUGCCACCCACGCGGUUGGGUUUUCAAGCAAUUUUUUACUAUUUUAUUUUUUAUGAAUUGAAAUAAAACAAAAUAAAUGUUUGUAUCAUU